This 71-nucleotide transfer RNA is filed under the name Actinomycetales bacterium. RNAcentral's name for it is "tRNA-Gln". It matches the Rfam family "tRNA". From Rfam's summary of the family: Transfer RNA (tRNA) molecules are approximately 80 nucleotides in length. Lineage: Bacteria; Bacillati; Actinomycetota; Actinomycetes; Actinomycetales. The record is from RNAcentral.
UGCUCCAUGGUGUAACGGCAGCACCGCGCCCUUUGGAGGCGUUUGUCCAGGUUCGAAUCCUGGUGGAGCAG